GUGGGUGUAGCUUAAGCGGCAGAGCGCAUGCUUAGCAUGCAUGAGGUCCUGGGUUCAAUCCCCAGUGCCUCCA
This 73-nucleotide transfer RNA is filed under the name Camelus bactrianus (Bactrian camel). It matches the Rfam family "tRNA". From Rfam's summary of the family: Transfer RNA (tRNA) molecules are approximately 80 nucleotides in length. Their secondary structure includes four short double-helical elements and three loops (D, anti-codon, and T loops). The record is from Rfam by way of RNAcentral. Lineage: Eukaryota; Metazoa; Chordata; Mammalia; Artiodactyla; Camelidae. RNAcentral also lists the same sequence under 1 other name.